GGCCUACCAUGGUGGUAACGGGUAACGGGGUGCUAGGGCACGACACCGGAGAGGGAGCCUGAGAAACGGCUACCACAUCCAAGGAUGGCAGCAGGCGCGCAAAUUACCCAAUCCCGACACGGGGAGGUAGUGACAAUAAAUAACAAUACGGGGUUCUUUCGGAUUUCGUAAUUGGAAUGAGUACAAUUUAAAUCUCUUAACGAGGAACAAUUGGAGGGCAAGUCUGGUGCCAGCAGCCGCGGUAAUUCCAGCUCCAAUAGCGUAUAUUAAAGUUGUUGCAGUUAAAAAGCUCGUAGUUGUAUUUCGGGGUUAGUAGGUUGGUCAUGCCUCUGGUAUGUACUGGUCUCACUGAUUCCUCCUUCCUGAUGAGCCGUAAUGCCAUUAAUUUGGUGUUGCGAGGAAUCUGGACUGUUACUUUGAAAAAAUUAGAGUGUUUAAAGCAGGCUAACGCUUGAAUACAUUAGCAUGGAAUAAUGAAAUAGGACGUUCGAUCCUAUUUUGUUGGUUUCUAGGAUUGACGUAAUGAUUAAUAGGGAUAGUUGGGGGCAUUAGUAUUCAAUUGUCAGAGGUGAAAUUCUUGGAUUUAUUGAAGACUAACUACUGCGAAAGCAUUUGCCAAGGAUGUUUUCAUUAAUCAAGAACGAAAGUUAGGGGAUCGAAGACGAUCAGAUACCGUCGUAGUCUUAACCAUAAACUAUGCCGACUAGGGAUCGGAUGAUGUUAAUUUUUUAAUGACUCAUUCGGCGCCUUACG
RNAcentral lists this ribosomal RNA (753 nucleotides) under uncultured Glomus. RNAcentral's name for it is "SSU rRNA". It matches the Rfam family "Eukaryotic small subunit ribosomal RNA", at positions 338 to 1092 of the family's 1831-position model. Lineage: Eukaryota; Fungi; Glomeromycota; Glomeromycetes; Glomerales; Glomeraceae. The record is from RNAcentral.